This 77-nucleotide transfer RNA is filed under the name Thermofilum sp. RNAcentral describes it as "tRNA-Cys". It matches the Rfam family "tRNA". From Rfam's summary of the family: Transfer RNA (tRNA) molecules are approximately 80 nucleotides in length. Their secondary structure includes four short double-helical elements and three loops (D, anti-codon, and T loops). Further hydrogen bonds mediate the characteristic L-shaped molecular structure. tRNAs have two regions of fundamental functional importance: the anti-codon, which is responsible for specific mRNA codon recognition, and the 3' end, to which the tRNAs corresponding amino acid is attached (by aminoacyl-tRNA synthetases). tRNAs cope with the degeneracy of the genetic code in two manners: having more than one tRNA (with a specific anti-codon) for a particular amino acid; and 'wobble' base-pairing, i.e. permitting non-standard base-pairing at the 3rd anti-codon position. The record is from RNAcentral. Lineage: Archaea; Thermoproteati; Thermoproteota; Thermoprotei; Thermofilales; Thermofilaceae.
GCCGGGGUGGCCGAGGGGUCAAGGCGCUGGGCUGCAGACCCAGUUUCACCCGGGUUCGAGUCCCGGCCCCGGCUCCA